Molecule: long non-coding RNA, 354 nt
Organism: Oncorhynchus gorbuscha (pink salmon)
Lineage: Eukaryota; Metazoa; Chordata; Actinopteri; Salmoniformes; Salmonidae
Exons: 3
Source: RefSeq, a predicted model, not a curated record
CUUAAUCCCACCCCUCGCAAUCCCAGCGCUCAAAAUCACACCAAAUAUCCUGGCUGCAGUAUUCCCCAGAACCAGCACUUGGCUUGUGGUUUCACUGGAAUCUCGUCUUCCAAGUGUUUGGUGAUGGGUUGCUGUGUGGAUUCGGCAACUUCCGCCUGCUUCUACCCAAUGGAUGAGUGCACUGCAGACCAUCAGUUUAUCUUUGCCGUUCACCAUAACCUCACUACUUUCCCUGUGACUCCCACCAAACCUGUGGUUGCUGGGAAGUCUAGCUGUGGCCCAGUCAUUGUCACUGAUAAGUUUGUGGUCUUCAAGUUCUCAGUCACUGAAUGUGGAACUCGCUCAUAUGUAAGU